Molecule: long non-coding RNA, 1795 nt
Filed under: Triticum aestivum (bread wheat)
Lineage: Eukaryota; Viridiplantae; Streptophyta; Magnoliopsida; Poales; Poaceae
Description: long non-coding RNA (TAES_LNC019467)
Source: RNAcentral
GAAAAUGACAAACGGUAGGGAUUUUCCCUACCGUAAUUGAUCAAAAAAAGAUUGUAUAUAGACUUAAGACUAAUAGCAUGCCAUGACCACAAAAACUGCUCUAGCUGACCCCAAAGACGAUCGACUAAGCAACCCUGCUAGUAGUGGACAACACAAAAUGCCACCAAUCUUCUUUACAUCAAAACUGGAUGACCACAUCAUUAACUUAUGGACCAAAUAGCAAAGGGAGCAGCCAAUAGCGCACAGAGCAGCAAGGCGACCACCGAACUGGUUAUGAACCUAAAAAUACAAAGCAAACAGAAUGUAAAGCCAGAGAAAAAAACACAUACACAUGAACAUCAGAAAUAUGAAAUUGUCAACUGCCAUAGAAAAGCACAAGGAGGCAUUAUAUACAGACCCAGAGAAGGAAGAACAGGAACCCCAAACAUGUGUGUAGGCAUUUCAAAGAGCUAACCCAAGGGCUCAUAGAUCCAAUUUAGAGAGCUCAACAACGAAGCCGAAUAAAAUAUAAUCGACCGACUAUGCAAAGAUGAUAUCUAAAUCCCAAUCUCAUUGAACCACGCAAACUAAAGGAGCCUUGAAGAAAGCAUCGACAACCUAAAGCUGCAAGGGGACACUAUCCAAAUGAACAGAAAACACAAUAUACCACACCCAACCAGCGACCCAAACUAACACCAGAUUGAUCCACUCAUCAGACCAUAAAUCAAAUGACCCACACCAAGUAUUAAGAACCGAGAAGCACGCCGCAACAUGAAAAUCAAGCCAACUCCAAGAUAACUGAAUCUAUUUUAACCCUCUUCUCUCAUCAGAUCUAUAUAUUCCAACUCAAAGAUCACCAAAUCUAUUUUAGCCUUCAUCCCUCACAAGAUCAAAAGAAACCAGCUCUUAGCAAAUCCAUAUACCUAAGCAACAAAGCACCUCCUAGGCAGGCCCUCACUACCAGCUCUCACCAGAUCCAUAUACUACAACUCCAAGAUAGCUGAAUUUAGUCUAGCCUUUAACUCUCAGAAGAGUCAUCUAUUCAAUUUCAACCAGAGCACCAACCCAAAAGAGGCAAACUAAUGCAGCAAAGCACCUCUUGGGCAAGACUAAUCAUUAUAUGACCUCAAGAAACAUGUCAGACCUACCCCACUGGUCAACAACAAAGCCAUACCACCCUAAGAAUACAGCUAGGUCCAAUGACCCCCUGGACAUUGUAGCACACACAAAACCAACCAGACAGAUGUAAGAAAUCCACUCCUCUAUUUUAGUCUCUACCCCUAAGCAGUCCCAUUUAUCCAUAGAAAACCAGCAAUUAAGAAAGGCACACUAAAAACUGAAGCAUCUCAUGUGGUAACUCUCAUUAUCAUACAACCCUAAGAAACCUGACAACCCUAACCUGACCCUCUCCUCGACAACAAAGCCACAUCACACCAAAUAUGCAGAUACAUCCAAAUAUUCAAUGUUUGGCUGGGCAAGAAGACACCAAUAGAACAAGACACAUCUAAAAAGCUCCUUCCUUGGAACCUAGCUAGAUCGAAAAAACAAAAGCACACCAACACAGGAAGAUAACAAAGGAAUCCCCCGAUCUGCCACUGUACGCACCCACCCCAACGACAACCAUAUCACAGCGGCACAUGAACACACCCCAGCGACAGGCUUAUCACACCGAGCCGAACAACAAUCAACCAAAAUACAGAAAGAACCAAAAAACAACGAAAAGGGAAAAGAGAGUCAACCUGCAUAUCCUUGGAGCAAGACGUGAAUAUCAGCACGGGCCCGACGACGAACAAGAGAGGAGAGACCAAGCAGGAGA